Molecule: ribosomal RNA, 407 nt
Filed under: uncultured bacterium
Lineage: Bacteria
Description: bacterial SSU rRNA
Rfam family: Bacterial small subunit ribosomal RNA
Source: RNAcentral
AACGAACGCUGGCGGCGUGCCUAACACAUGCAAGUCGUGCGAGAAAAGGGGGGCAACUCCCUGAGUAAAGCGGCGCACGGGUGAGUAACACGUAGGUAACCUACCCCCGAGCCCGGGAUAACCUACCGAAAGGUGGGCUAAUACUGGAUAUGACCACGGGAACUUCGGCUCCCGCGGUGAAAGGUGGCCUCUGCUUGCAAGCUACCACUCGAGGACGGGCCUGCGCGCCAUUAGCUAGUUGGUGGGGAAUGGCUCACCAAGGCGAUGAUGGCUAGCUGGUCUGAGAGGAUGGCCAGCCACACUGGGACUGGGAACACGGCCCAGACUCCUACGGGAGGCAGCAGGUGGGGGAUAUUGCGCAAUGGGCGAAAGCCUGACGCAGCGACGCCGCGUGGGUGAUGAAGGCC